RNAcentral lists this ribosomal RNA (449 nucleotides) under uncultured Gemmata sp. RNAcentral describes it as "bacterial SSU rRNA". It matches the Rfam family "Bacterial small subunit ribosomal RNA", at positions 338 to 799 of the family's 1533-position model. Lineage: Bacteria; Pseudomonadati; Planctomycetota; Planctomycetia; Gemmatales; Gemmataceae. The record is from RNAcentral.
CCUACGGGGGGCUGCAGUCGAGGAUCUUCGGCAAUGGGGGCAACCCUGACCGAGCGAUGCCGCGUGCGCGAUGAAGGCCUUCGGGUUGUAAAGCGCGAAAGUGGGGAGAAAAGCCGAAAGGUGUGAUCUAUCCACAGUAAGCUCGGGCUAAGUUCGUGCCAGCAGCCGCGGUAAGACGAACCGAGCGAACGUUGUUCGGAAUCACUGGGCUUAAAGGGCGCGUAGGCGGGCUGUCAAGUCUGGGGUGAAAUCCCGCGGCUCAACCGUGGAACUGCCUCAGAUACUGACGGCCUCGAGGGAGAUAGGGGCGAGCGGAACUAAUGGUGGAGCGGUGAAAUGCGUUGAUAUCAUUAGGAACUCCGGUGGCGAAGGCGGCUCGCUGGAUCUUUUCUGACGCUGAGGCGCGAAAGCUAGGGGAGCAAACGGGAUUAGAUACCCUGGUAGUCUAG